Molecule: ribosomal RNA, 551 nt
Filed under: uncultured Pacisporaceae
Lineage: Eukaryota; Fungi; Glomeromycota; Glomeromycetes; Diversisporales; Pacisporaceae
Description: SSU rRNA
Rfam family: Eukaryotic small subunit ribosomal RNA
Source: RNAcentral
UUGGAGGGCAAGUCUGGUGCCAGCAGCCGCGGUAAUUCCAGCUCCAAUAGCGUAUAUUAAAGUUGUUGCAGUUAAAAAGCUCGUAGUUGAAUUUCGGAAUUUUUUUAUCGGUUGAAUCAACAGGUUCGUACUGAUUUUAAGAAUUUCUACCUUCUGGAGAACCUUAAUGUCAUUUAUUUGGUGUUUUGGGAAACCAGGACUGUUACCUUGAAAAAAUUAGAGUGUUUAAAGCAGGCUUAUGUCUGAAUAUAUUAGCAUGGAAUAAUGAAAUAGGACGGCAUGGUUCUAUUUUGUUGGUUUCUAGGAUCACCGUAAUGAUUAAUAGGGAUAGUUGGGGGCAUUAGUAUUCAAUUGUCAGAGGUGAAAUUCUUGGAUUUAUUGAAGACUAACUACUGCGAAAGCAUUUGCCAAGGAUGUUUUCAUUAAUCAAGAACGAAAGUUAGGGGAUCGAAGACGAUCAGAUACCGUCGUAGUCUUAACCAUAAACUAUGCCGACUAGGGAUCGGAUGAUGUUAAUUUUUUAAUGACUCAUUCGGCGCCUUACGGGAAAC